GAUGAAUGCUAGCGGGGGGCCUAACACAUGCAAGUCGAACGUAUUUAUUUACGUGGCAAACGGGUGCGUAACACGUACUUAUCUGCCCUGGAGUGGGGGAUAACAUCGGAAACGGUGAUAAUCCGCCAUAAUCCCUACGGGGGAAAGAUUUAUCGCUCUAGGAGGAGGGUGCGGCCUAUUAGUUAGUUGGUAAGGUAACGGCUUACCAAGACGAUGAUGGGUAGCUGGUCUGAGAGGAUGAUCAGCCACAAUGGAACUGAGACACGGUCCAUACCCCUACGGGGGGCAGCAGUGGGGAAUAUUGCACAAUGGAGGAAACUCUGAUGCAGCCACCCCGCGUGGAGGAUGACGCAUUACGGUGUGUAAACUCCUUUUCUGGAGGAAGACGACUGACGGUACUCCAGGAAUAAGCGACGGCUAACUACG
RNAcentral lists this ribosomal RNA (426 nucleotides) under uncultured bacterium. Its description in RNAcentral is "bacterial SSU rRNA". It matches the Rfam family "Bacterial small subunit ribosomal RNA", at positions 28 to 505 of the family's 1533-position model. The record is from RNAcentral.